GCAGUGGCGCCCGCUGCAGGGGGCUGCACCCACUGCGGUGACCAAUGGGUCUUCUGAGGAGUUACCGGCUGGAGUCAUCUACAAGGUCAAAGCCAUGCAUGACUACGCUGCCACCGAUGGAGACGAGCUGGAGAUGAAAGCAGGAGAUGUUGUGCUGGUCCUGGCCUGGGAGAAUCCUGAUGAGCAGGAUGAUGGCUGGCUCAUGGGCGUGAAGGAAUCUCAUUGGCUGGAGAA
Long non-coding RNA from Coregonus clupeaformis (lake whitefish), 234 nucleotides. RefSeq lists it as uncharacterized. NCBI's taxonomy places the organism in Eukaryota, Metazoa, Chordata, Actinopteri, Salmoniformes, Salmonidae. The transcript has 4 exons. The record is from RefSeq and is a predicted model, not a curated record.